Molecule: long non-coding RNA, 1056 nt
Filed under: Anser cygnoides (Swan goose)
Lineage: Eukaryota; Metazoa; Chordata; Aves; Anseriformes; Anatidae
Description: lncRNA (ENSACDG00005007368.1)
Source: RNAcentral
CUCAACGACACCAUCUCCAACAUCAUCGGCGUCACCUUCUUCAACCUGCUGGAGGUGCCGUGCUUCGUGCUGGAGGACAGCGAGGAGUGCGUGCAGUGGCACUGGUGGGGCGGGUGCGAACGCUACGGCGUGGUGCCCCUGGCCAGGAUGGUGCAGCAGGGGCAGUACGGCCACGGGCUGCCCGCAGAAGGCAGCGACGGCGGCCGGGGAAGGAAGCCCUCCGGAGCGGGUCGGAAGCGCCUGCGGCAGGGGCUGGGACGCGGUCCCGGGCUCCGCCGUGUGCGGAGGCCUGUGACAGCCCAGCACCCGCGGGGCCCGGGUGCCUCGUCCCCUGCGUCUGCCAGGGACGAGGCUGAGCCCGCUGCCAGGCGCGCAGCACCUUGGGGUGAGCUGGAGCCGGGCCUGCCAACCGCGGUGGCCACGUUGGAACAGGAGCUCGCUGGAGGACAGCAGGGGCCGGGGGCCUCGGCACGGCCCGCUCUUGAGGCAAGCCCUGAAGACAGCAGCAUCGGAUCCAGCCUGGCUACAGAGCCCUGUGAGGCUGUCCCUGCACCUCCCGGGAAUGGGCGCAGGCAGCAGGGCCUGGGGAGGAUGUGCAGGUGCUACAAGCGCCUGGAUAAGUGUGAGUACCAGAUCGCACCCCAUGAGUUGAAGUACCAGCUGCAUAACGCAGACACCCGGACGCUCUUCCACUGCAACUGCACUCGCAGACUGGCGCGGUCCCUGCGCAGGGCGAAGGGUUUCAAUGAGGUGCAGGCAGCAGUCUUGGCUGACCACGUUGCUGCAGCUUGCUUUGUGUUGGAGCCACUCACCAACUGCAGCCUGGGCAAGGAGCCACAGCGCAACAGCUGUACCUCAGCGACCCGGGCUGUGCUAGUAGUACCUGCACGGCAUCUCAAAAACAUCCUGAGGCGCUGGGGUGCUCCUCGCAUAACCUCCAAGGUCAAGCAUCAAGACUGGAAGACACAGGGCAGUGGCAGCACCCUCUAUGAGCAAUGCCGGCAACUGGCUUUGGAGCAGAAGCUGUGUGCACAGCGUCACACAGCACCCCGAUGA